GUACACUCCUGCGGGAGGCAGCAGUGGGGAAUUUUGGACAAUGGGCGAAAGCCUGAUCCAGCCAUGCCGCGUGCAGGAUGAAGGCCUUCGGGUUGUAAACUGCUUUUGUACGGAACGAAACGGCCUUUUCUAAUAAAGAGGGCUAAUGACGGUACCGUAAGAAUAAGCACCGGCUAACUACGUGCCAGCAGCCGCGGUAAUACGUAGGGUGCAAGCGUUAAUCGGAAUUACUGGGCGUAAAGCGUGCGCAGGCGGUUAUGUAAGACAGUUGUGAAAUCCCCGGGCUCAACCUGGGAACUGCAUCUGUGACUGCAUAGCUAGAGUACGGUAGAGGGGGAUGGAAUUCCGCGUGUAGCAGUGAAAUGCGUAGAUAUGCGGAGGAACACCGAUGGCGAAGGCAAUCCCCUGGACCUGUACUGACGCUCAUGCACGAAAGCGUGGGGAGCAAACAGGAUUAGAAACCCGGGUAGUCCCAUGA
This 478-nucleotide ribosomal RNA is filed under the name uncultured organism. RNAcentral's name for it is "partial 16S ribosomal RNA". It matches the Rfam family "Bacterial small subunit ribosomal RNA", at positions 331 to 800 of the family's 1533-position model. The record is from RNAcentral.